RNAcentral lists this unclassified non-coding RNA (129 nucleotides) under Rhodotorula toruloides. Lineage: Eukaryota; Fungi; Basidiomycota; Microbotryomycetes; Sporidiobolales; Sporidiobolaceae. The record is from RNAcentral.
GCCGAACGCCUCCCUGAGAUGGUCGACAAACACGUCGGGCUUCUCGAGCGCAGCAAAGUGUCCUCCGGCAGUAGAUCUCGCCCGGGUAGAGCGAGAGGGCAAAGUUGGGCAAGUGGUACUUGCUGUCGG